This is a non-coding RNA of Dipodomys ordii (Ord's kangaroo rat), 70 nucleotides long. The record is from Rfam. Lineage: Eukaryota; Metazoa; Chordata; Mammalia; Rodentia; Heteromyidae.
GGGAAGGUGGCUCAGUGGUUGAGUGCUUACCUUGCAUGCAAGAGGCCCUGGGUUCGAUUCCUCAGCCCCA